Molecule: ribosomal RNA, 483 nt
Filed under: uncultured bacterium
Lineage: Bacteria
Description: bacterial SSU rRNA
Rfam family: Bacterial small subunit ribosomal RNA
Source: RNAcentral
ACGCUGGCGGCGUGGAUUAGGCAUGCAAGUCGAACGGUAUCAUCCUUUCGGGGAUGAGAGAGUGGCGAACGGGUGAGUAACACGUAGGUGAUCUACCCUCAAGACGGGGACAACCCAGGGAAACUUGGGCUAAUACCGGAUGUGAGCUAUCGCGAGAUAGUUUGAAAGGUGGCUUCGGCUGCCGCUUGAGGAUGAGCCUGCGUCCUAUUAGCUAGUUGGUGAGGUAACGGCUCACCGAGGCGAUGAUAGGUAGGCGGCCUUAACGGGUGGUCGCCCACACUGGGAUUGAGAUACGGCCCAGACUCCUACGGGAGGCAGCAGUCGAGAAUAGUCUACAAUGGUCGAAAGACUGAUAGUGCGACGCCGCGUGAACGAAGAAGCCCUUCGGGGUGUAAAGUUCUUUUAUAUGUGAGCAGUGACAUCUAUAUUAAUAGUAUGGGUGUAGAGAUAUUAGCAUAUGAAUAAGCAACGGCUAACUCCGUG